AGGAUAAACGCUGGCGGCGUGCCUAACACAUGCAAGUCGAACGCGCUUUUUUCGCAAGAGGAGAGCGAGUGGCGGACGGGUGAGUAACACAUGGGUACCUACCUUGGAGUGAGGGAUACCGGCGAGAAAUCGCCGACAAUACCGCAUACGCUUCUCUUCACCGGGAAGCAAAGUUGCGCAAGCGACGCUCUGAGAUGGGCCUGUGGCCGAUUAGCUAGUUGGUGGGGUAACGGCCUACCAAGGCGACGAUCGGUAGCUGGUCUGAGAGGACGAUCAGCCACACUGGGAUUGAGAACGGCCCAGACUCCUACGGGGGGCAGCAGUGAGGAAUUUUCCGCAUGGACGCAAGUCUGACGGAGCAACGCCGCGUGCAGGAUGAAGGUUUUCGGAUCGUAAACUGCUUUUCGUCGGGGACGAGCAAGGACGGUACCCGAGGAAGACGCCCCGGCUAACUACGUGCCAGCCAGCCGC
Molecule: ribosomal RNA, 471 nt
Filed under: uncultured bacterium
Lineage: Bacteria
Description: SSU rRNA
Rfam family: Bacterial small subunit ribosomal RNA
Source: RNAcentral